AGUCGAGCGGACAGAUGGGAGCUUGCUCCCUGAUGUUAGCGGCGGACGGGUGAGUAACACGUGGGUAACCUGCCUGUAAGACUGGGAUAACUCCGGGAAACCGGGGCUAAUACCGGAUGGUUGUUUGAACCGCAUGGUUCAAACAUAAAAGGUGGCUUCGGCUACCACUUACAGAUGGACCCGCGGCGCAUUAGCUAGUUGGUGAGGUAACGGCUCACCAAGGCGACGAUGCGUAGCCGACCUGAGAGGGUGAUCGGCCACACUGGGACUGAGACACGGCCCAGACUCCUACGGGAGGCAGCAGUAGGGAAUCUUCCGCAAUGGACGAAAGUCUGACGGAGCAACGCCGCGUGAGUGAUGAAGGUUUUCGGAUCGUAAAGCUCUGUUGUUAGGGAAGAACAAGUACCGUUCGAAUAGGGCGGUACCUUGACGGUACCUAACCAGAAAGCCACGGCUAACUACGUGCCAGCAGCCGCGGUAAUACGUAGGUGGCAAGCGUUGUCCGGAAUUAUUGGGCGUAAAGGGCUCGCAGGCGGUUUCUUAAGUCUGAUGUGAAAGCCCCCGGCUCAACCGGGGAGGGUCAUUGGAAACUGGGGAACUUGAGUGCAGAAGAGGAGAGUGGAAUUCCACGUGUAGCGGUGAAAUGCGUAGAGAUGUGGAGGAACACCAGUGGCGAAGGCGACUCUCUGGUCUGUAACUGACGCUGAGGAGCGAAAGCGUGGGGAGCGAACAGGAUUAGAUACCCUGGUAGUCCACGCCGUAAACGAUGAGUGCUAAGUGUUAGGGGGUUUCCGCCCCUUAGUGCUGCAGCUAACGCAUUAAGCACUCCGCCUGGGGAGUACGGUCGCAAGACUGAAACUCAAAGGAAUUGACGGGGGCCCGCACAAGCGGUGGAGCAUGUGGUUUAAUUCGAAGCAACGCGAAGAACCUUACCAGGUCUUGACAUCCUCUGACAAUCCUAGAGAUAGGACGUCCCCUUCGGGGGCAGAGUGACAGGUGGUGCAUGGUUGUCGUCAGCUCGUGUCGUGAGAUGUUGGGUUAAGUCCCGCAACGAGCGCAACCCUUGAUCUUAGUUGCCAGCAUUCAGUUGGGCACUCUAAGGUGACUGCCGGUGACAAACCGGAGGAAGGUGGGGAUGACGUCAAAUCAUCAUGCCCCUUAUGACCUGGGCUACACACGUGCUACAAUGGACAGAACAAAGGGCAGCGAAACCGCGAGGUUAAGCCAAUCCCACAAAUCUGUUCUCAGUUCGGAUCGCAGUCUGCAACUCGACUGCGUGAAGCUGGAAUCGCUAGUAAUCGCGGAUCA
RNAcentral lists this ribosomal RNA (1308 nucleotides) under Bacillus subtilis. RNAcentral describes it as "bacterial SSU rRNA". It matches the Rfam family "Bacterial small subunit ribosomal RNA", at positions 60 to 1351 of the family's 1533-position model. The record is from RNAcentral. Lineage: Bacteria; Bacillati; Bacillota; Bacilli; Caryophanales; Bacillaceae.